CGGGGCUCACCUCUAACCAUUCCGAACAGAGUAGUUAAGCCCGUUUGCGCCGAUGGUACUGCUUUACUGUGGAAGAGUAGGUCACCGCCUUUUUUGUAUCGAUGAUAAAUCGAUAUUUUUAAAACCCUUACUAGGUAUCUAGUAAGGGUUUUUUGUGUUUAAUAUAUUUAAGGAAGUGUAAGAACCCAAUCAAUUAAUCGUUUUUACAAGUAGCAUUCUUUAUUUAGAAUUGAAUCCAGGUAAUACAAACUAAAUUGUUUGUGUUAAACUCAAUUAUCUUACACUAACUCUUUAAUAUGAUUAACUUUUAUGGUAUAUGAAUACUUGUAAGAGUAAGCCAUAAACGUCUACUAAAUACAGCUAUCAAGAAACCAUUACUUUUUUUUCUUGAAAACACACUCUGGAGUCGUCUUAAUUCCUAAGAGUAAAAUAAUAAUUUUGUAAUUAAGAGAAUUCAUACUAUAAUAAGCAGUGAUUUACAUAAGUAUAUUCAUUAUUAUUUAAGAUUAAGUAUCAUACUAUAGGAUCAAGGAUCGCUAAUACGAAGAAUUAUUCGUAAAUUUUAGAUGAGAACGCACAAUCUUUACUGUCAUAAUCUACUUUCAAAAAAUAUAAUAGACCUAAUAAAGUAGCUUUAGUCAAUUUAAAUCUGAAGUAUAGAGUUAUUAUAAUUCGAUUUAUUCGGAUGUAUGAUGGAUCAGGGCAUAUAAAACACAUGGAUUUAAUGUUAAUCUACAUAUUCUGAAAACCGUCAUAUAGGCCUUUAUCAAUCGAAACAGCAAGCUGCAGUAAAGAAUUUAUUCAAAAUCAAAAAAACAAACAGCUGUAAAGCUUUGGUUAUGGGUGUAUUAAAAAAAAGAUUAAAAUAAGUUAUAAAAGGGCUUGCGGGUUUAGAAAAGGGUUCUAUAUUUGCACCCCGAAACAAAAACAAUAUGUUGCGUUUCGCACGUUCAUUUCCAGAAAAAUUAAGCUUAAAAAAAGAAUUAAAUAUUUUUUCAAAUUAAGUUUGUGAGAGUGAAAAAAGGGUUUUAUAUUUGCACCCGCUUAGCGAAACAACGUUAAGAGAAAGUAAAGAAAAAGUUCAUUAACAUAUUGAAUUGACAGCGUAAGAAUCAACUGGAAAC
This 1124-nucleotide ribosomal RNA is filed under the name Winogradskyella pacifica. Lineage: Bacteria; Pseudomonadati; Bacteroidota; Flavobacteriia; Flavobacteriales; Flavobacteriaceae. The record is from RNAcentral.